GACGAACGCUGGCGGCGUGCUUAACACAUGCAAGUCGAACGGGAGUAUUGAAGAAGCUUGCUUUAGAGAUACUUUAGUGGCGGACGGGUGAGUAACGCGUGAGGAGCUGUCCUAUGCAGGGGGACAACAGCUGGAAACGGCUGCUAAUACCCCAUAAGCCGAGAGGUAAAAGGAUCAAUCCGGCAGAGGAGGUACUCGCGUCCUAUCAGCUAGUAGGUGAGGUAACGGCUCACCUAGGCGAAGACGGGUAGCCGGCCUGAGAGGGCGAACGGCCACACUGGAACUGAGAUACGGUCCAGACUCCUACGGGAGGCAGCAGUGGGGAAUAUUGGGCAAUGGGGGAAACCCUGACCCAGCGACGCCGCGUGGGUGAAGAAAUCCUUCGGGAUGUAAAGCCCUGUUGUAUGGGAAGAGCGGAAGACGGUACCAUACGAGGAAGCCCCGGCAAACUACGUGCCAGCAGCCGCGGUAAGCACGAGAGUA
Molecule: ribosomal RNA, 483 nt
Filed under: uncultured bacterium
Lineage: Bacteria
Description: bacterial SSU rRNA
Rfam family: Bacterial small subunit ribosomal RNA
Source: RNAcentral